GCGGCGUGCUUAACUACAUGCAAGUCGAACGGGGUCGAUUUUAAGCUUGCUUAGAUGAGCCUAGUGGCAAACGGGUGAGUAACGCGUAGGCAACCUGCCUCUAAGAUGGGGACAACAGAGCGAAAGUUCUGCUAAUACCGAAUGUUGUGAGUUUUCCGCAUGGAGAACUCAUUAAAGAUGGCCUCUACUUGUAAGCUAUCACUUAGAGAUGGGCCUGCGUCUGAUUAGCUAGUUGGUGGGGUAACGGCUCACCAAGGCGACGAUCAGUAGCCGGUCUGAGAGGAUGAACGGCCACAUUGGGACUGAGACACGGCCCAGACUCCUACGGGAGGCAGCAGUGGGGAAUCUUCCGCAAUGGGCGAAAGCCUGACGGAGCAACGCCGCGUGAGUGAAGAAGGUCUUCGGAUCGUAAAGCUCUGUCGAAGGGGACGAACGUAGUGCUUAUCAACAACGAGCACUAAUGACGGUACCUUUCAAGAAAGCCACGGCUAACUACGUGCC
RNAcentral lists this ribosomal RNA (501 nucleotides) under uncultured bacterium. RNAcentral's name for it is "bacterial SSU rRNA". It matches the Rfam family "Bacterial small subunit ribosomal RNA", at positions 39 to 509 of the family's 1533-position model. The record is from RNAcentral.